AUUUAGUUUUCCAAGGUACCUCCAUACUGUUUUCCAUAGUGGUUGUACCAAUUUACAUUCCCACCAAAUGUGUUGGAGGGUACAGUACUCUUUUCUCCACACUCCCUCCAGCAUUUGUUAUUUACUUUUGGAUGAUGACCAUUCUGGCUGGUAUAAGGUGGUACCUCAUCGUGGUCUUCAUUAGCAUUUCUCUAAUAAUGAGUGAUGUUGAAUAUCUUUUCAUGUGUUUUUUUGGCCAUGGGUAUGUCUUCUUUGGAGAAUUGUCUGUUUAGAUCUUCUGCCCAUUUUUUGAUGGGUUUAUUUUUUUGGUAUGGAGCUGCAGAAGGUGUUUAUAAAUUUUAGAGAUUAAUCCCUUGUCAGUUGAUUCAUUUGCAAAGAUUUUCUCCCAUUCUGGGGGUUGUCUCUUUAUUUUGUUUAGGGUUUCCUUUGCUGUGCAGAAACUUUUAUGUUUGAUUAAGUCCCAUUUGUUUAUUUUUGUUUUUAUUGUCAUUACUCUAGGAGAUGGAUCUGAGAAGAUGUUGCUGUGGUUUAUGUUGGAGAGUGUUUGGCCUCUGUUUUCCUCUAAGAGUUUUAAGUAUCUGGUCUUAUAUGUAGGUCUUUGAUCCAUUUGGAGUUUAUUUUUGUGGAUGGUGUUAGAGAGUGUUCUAAUUUCAUUCUUUUCUGGCUGUCCAGUUUUCCCCAGCACCACAUAUUGAAGGGGCUGUAAUUUCUCCAUUAUAUAUUCCUGCCUCCUUUGCCAUAGGUUAGUUGACUGUAGGGGCAUGGGUUGAAUUAUGGGCUUUCUAUCCUGUUCCACUGAUCUAUAGUUCUGUCUUUGUGCCAGUACCGCACUGUUUUGAUGGCUGUAGCUUUGUAGUAUAGUCUGAGGUCAGGGAGCCUGAUUCCUCCAGCUCCAGUUUUUCUUUUUCAGGAUGUCUUUGGCUAUUCUGGGUCUUUUUUGCUUCCAAACGAACUUUAAAAUAUUUUGUUUGAGUUCUGUAAAAAAUGUUCUUGGUAAUUUGAUAGGGAUUGCACUGAAUCUAUAGAUUGCCUUGGGUAGUAUGGUCUUUUUGAUAAUAUUGACUCUUCCAAUCCAAGAGCAUGGUAUGUCUUUCCAUCUGUUUGUGUCCUCUUUGAUUUCUUUCAUCAGUGUCAUAGUUUUCAGAGUACAGGUCUUUUGUCUCUUUAGGUAGGUUUAUUCCUAUGUAUUUUAUUCUUUU
Molecule: long non-coding RNA, 1199 nt
Filed under: Sus scrofa (pig)
Lineage: Eukaryota; Metazoa; Chordata; Mammalia; Artiodactyla; Suidae
Description: lncRNA (ENSSSCG00055017621.1)
Source: RNAcentral